Folsomia candida is the source of this 718-nucleotide long non-coding RNA. RefSeq lists it as uncharacterized. The record is from RefSeq and is a predicted model, not a curated record. Lineage: Eukaryota; Metazoa; Arthropoda; Collembola; Entomobryomorpha; Isotomidae. The transcript is spliced from 5 exons.
ACUUGGAAUGCCGUUGACCCUCGCGUCUAAAUUUGUACAGGUUUCUUUUCCUUUCACAUUUCGGUCUGCAGAUUGAACUAAAUAAAACCUCAGCACCCAUUUCAACUUCAACCUUACGUUUGUCGUGACGCGAUUUACAUAUUUUGUGCUUGGAAAGUUUCUAAACGUUAAAUAAAGUGGGGGUGGACUGAUGGUGCACUGUGAUGUAAAUAGCUGGAAUAACCUAGUUUCAAGUUUUUAGUGAUUGUGUAAACUUGUGACGUGUAUAAUUAAAGCUAUUUAAAAUUGGGAUUUUGAUGCCUUUUCAAACAUGCGUCUCUCAUUAAUUAAGGCUCUCAGCAGUUAUUAUGCAAAACUGUGAAAAAACUUGGACCCAGUAGCGGAUGAUUCGUAUUAGAAUUGAAGAAAAUACGCACUUACAUAUCACUAAAAUCUGGUUCCAUGACAAAAAACAAAUUCAAGUUUGGCCAUCAAUUACAUAAAUUUUCAAACGCAAUUCAUUCCGGUUCUUUCUGCAAAAAUUUCUGCAACAGGCGGAAUUCAAACUGGAUUAAAAUAUUCUGCCGGGAUAGAGAAACAAAAGAAAAACAGGAUAAAGUCCGGCAGAUAAGCCUCCCGAUUAAUAGAUAAGACUUUAAUUACUUAAUUUAGUCAUGUAUAUAUGUAGAUAUAUUUAAGUCACUUCAGGUAUAAACCAGCAUAUUUUAGCACACACACA